UUGACGGAGAGUUUGAUCCUGGCUCAGGACGAACGCUGGCGGCGUGCUUAACACAUGCAAGUCGAGCGGUAAGGCCCUUUCGGGGGUACACGAGCGGCGAACGGGUGAGUAACGCGUGAGUAACCUGCCCCCCUCUCUGGGAUAACAGUUGGAAACGGCUGCUAAUACCGGAUAUUCAGACCUUUAGGCAUCUUUUGGUUUGGAAAGUUCUGGCGGUGGGGGAUGGACUCGCGUCCUAUCAGCUUGUUGGUGGGGUAGUGGCCUACCAAGGCGACGACGGGUAGCCGGCCUGAGAGGGCGACCGGCCACAUUGGGACUGAGAUACGGCCCAAACUCCUACGGGAGGCAGCAGUGGGGAAUAUUGCACAAUGGGGGAAACCCUGAUGCAGCAACGCCGCGUGCGGGAUGACGGCCUUCGGGUUGUAAACCGCUUUCAGCCAUGACGAAGCUUUUGUGACGGUAGUGGCAGAAGAAGCACCGGCUAACUACGUGCCAGCAGCCGCGGUGAUACGUAGGGUGCGAGCGUUGUCCGGAAUUAUUGGGCGUAAAGAGCUUGUAGGCGGUUUGUCGCGUCGAAAGUGUAAACUCAGUGCUUAACGCUGAGCCUGCUUUCGAUACGGGCUGACUAGAGGAAGGUAGGGGAGAAUGGAAUUCCCGGUGGAGCGGUGGAAUGCGCAGAUAUCGGGAGGAACACCAGUGGCGAAGGCGGUUCUCUGGACCUUUCCUGACGCUGAGAAGCGAAAGCGUGGGUAGCAAACAGGCUUAGAUACCCUGGUAGUCCACGCCGUAAACGGUGGGUACUAGGUGUGGGGGACAUUCCACGUUCUCUGUGCCGUAGCUAACGCAUUAAGUACCCCGCCUGGGGAGUACGGCCGCAAGGCUAAAACUCAAAGGAAUUGACGGGGCCCCGCACAAGCGGCGGAGCAUG
RNAcentral lists this ribosomal RNA (928 nucleotides) under Clostridium butyricum. RNAcentral describes it as "bacterial SSU rRNA". It matches the Rfam family "Bacterial small subunit ribosomal RNA", at positions 1 to 941 of the family's 1533-position model. Lineage: Bacteria; Bacillati; Bacillota; Clostridia; Eubacteriales; Clostridiaceae. The record is from RNAcentral.